This 468-nucleotide ribosomal RNA is filed under the name uncultured bacterium. RNAcentral describes it as "partial 16S ribosomal RNA". It matches the Rfam family "Bacterial small subunit ribosomal RNA", at positions 28 to 507 of the family's 1533-position model. The record is from RNAcentral.
GACGAACGCUGGCGGCGUGCUUAACACAUGCAAGUCGAACGGAAAGGCCCUGCUUUUGUGGGGUGCUCGAGUGGCGAACGGGUGAGUAACACGUGAGUAACCUGCCCUUGACUUUGGGAUAACUUCAGGAAACUGGGGCUAAUACCGGAUAGGAGCUCCUGCUGCAUGGUGGGGGUUGGAAAGUUUCGGCGGUUGGGGAUGGACUCGCGGCUUAUCAGCUUGUUGGUGGGGUAGUGGCUUACCAAGGCUUUGACGGGUAGCCGGCCUGAGAGGGUGACCGGCCACAUUGGGCCUGAGAUACGGCGCAGAAUCCUACGGGAGGCAGCAGUGGGGAAUAUUGCACAAUGGGCGGAAGCCUGAUGCAGCAACGCCGCGUGCGGGAUGACGGCCUUCGGGUUGUAAACCGCUUUCGCCUGUGACGAAGCGUGAGUGACGGUAAUGGGUAAAGAAGCACCGGCUAACUACGUG